GCCCUUAUCUGGUCAGAUACUUUCAAGGUCAAGCCCAAACUGUAAACAAUGAUGGGGCGUCAACAGAGUCGAAAAAUGCGUCACCAUUGCCCAUGUCAAACAGAAGAAGUUAAAAAAGCCAGAAAGAAAACUAGGAUAAAUAUCAGAGCUAGCAGAUUUCAGAGGUGGAGGGAGGUGCGGGAUUUGUAAGGACUCAAGAGCUGGCAGAGUUAGCUGCUUUUCUGCUGGACAGUGGAACUGCAUGGGGUCGUCAGUGGACAGCGACACACACAGGCCUUUCUGCAGAAACUCUCGUAGAGGAUUCUUGGAGUACUCCAGGAAAAGGCUGUUGUUGCUCAGUGGUGACAUGGCGAUCGGGACCUGGGCCAAGUAGUACAGCAUGCACAUCCAGAGAGUCUACGGUGAGGUCAUAGGGGUCCAUGUUGAGGUUGCUGAAGACUUCCUUGAGUGUGAUCUUCUUACCGCCCUUCUCCAAGACCACGCGAUCUGCCUCUGUCUGGUCCAUCUUGUAGCGGUCCUGAAGUUCAGUUUGGGUCUGAAGACGCCUGCGUUCUUCUUCUGCUGCGUUCGCCGCUGAGUCCUCCAGAGCCUGGUCAAAAGGGAAACAGACAGCUGUCAAAUAAAGCGGGUGACAGACCAUUCAUCAUUCAGAGGCCGCAACGCGGACUGGAUCUAUUAUUGGUAUUCAUGAGCUUGCCGUGAGUUUCAGAGGAGAGCCAUCAGAGUUUUUAGGUGACCUACUUUGAUUGUUGUGUGAAACGCAGCAACUACUGUGUGUGUGUGACUGAAACCAACAGUGUGAAGCAGAAAAAUGAGUUUGUCUCUUACAAGAGCUUUAGAGACAACUCAUGCUACUAUCAGUUUACGUUUAUUUUAAGCGACGUCUCUGAAAUGGAAUGUUGUUGAAUCAGCUUUGAGAGUUUUUUAUUAGCUGCAAACAUCAUGACAAAGCAAACUGGUUGGUAAAAUAUCUGUGACGUCACUGUCAGUCGUUACAUACAGUGGUUGACGCCAACCUGUGCUUUGACAGUCCAAUUAAAUGUGUUGUCCAGAUUAAGUCAU
Molecule: long non-coding RNA, 1062 nt
Organism: Acanthopagrus latus (yellowfin seabream)
Lineage: Eukaryota; Metazoa; Chordata; Actinopteri; Spariformes; Sparidae
Exons: 5
Source: RefSeq, a predicted model, not a curated record